Molecule: long non-coding RNA, 919 nt
Organism: Papaver somniferum (opium poppy)
Lineage: Eukaryota; Viridiplantae; Streptophyta; Magnoliopsida; Ranunculales; Papaveraceae
Exons: 5
Source: RefSeq, a predicted model, not a curated record
UUCUCCACCGCAUCCACAUCUCUACCUAUUUUUUCUUUCAUAUAACCAAACCCUAAUAAUUGUUGUUUCUUUCUUCUCCAGUCUCCACGCAUCCAGCAUUCCCUCCUCUUCCUCUCAUAAAACUAUUUCUUCUGCUACCAUUUCAACUUAUAAAAUUUGGGGGAUUUUAAGUCGCGGAUUUGAAUUAACUAGCCGGUGUUUUUGAUUUGCAGAUGAGGUUAACUAGCCAGUGUUUUUGAUUUGCAGAUGAGGUCUACCAGUUCGAACCAGUAACCAGGAAUCAAGACGGUUGGCGCAGUCUAAAGGAUUAUUUGUUUGGCGCAGUUAUAGGAAAAAUAAACUACUCCUGAUGAUAGUUAGGAACUUGAUGAGACUCUCCACAGAGAGGUGAUGUGGGUGGAGGUUGGCAUCAGAUUUAUCACAUGUGUUUCAAUAGAUGAUGAAUAACCUACUUCUGAAAGGCUCUGUCUUUUCCAGUAUUUGACUCUGCUAGCAAGUGGGUGGUGGAUGCUUUGUCUGGUGGGAUUUACUCUCAUCCCAAGAAUUGAUGAUACAUGAUGAGGACACAUUCUAUUUUAGACUCCAAGCAGUAUAUGUCGCCAGUUGCUCAGGAUGUGAAGCCACUAAUGACGGAAAUAUAGCAUAUGUGCAACAGUCGGGCAGCUUCAAAAGCAAUAUCACUUGGAAAUUUAUAGUGGUCUAAGAUGUAGCCAGCAUCACAAGGAUAUGGAAUUCAGCAAUGACGGAAUCAUAACAUAUGUGCAAUAGUGAGGAAGCUACAAAGCCCGAGGACAUAGUUAGCGUACACCAUGAGAGGGAAUCGAAUUAGAGAAUAAUCUACUAAGAUAUGUCAAAAUUCUUUAUUCUGUAACAAACAGUAAAUCCUCAAACUAAGUAAACAUAUAUUUAGCUUAUUUUU